This 483-nucleotide ribosomal RNA is filed under the name uncultured bacterium. RNAcentral describes it as "partial 16S ribosomal RNA". It matches the Rfam family "Bacterial small subunit ribosomal RNA", at positions 27 to 507 of the family's 1533-position model. The record is from RNAcentral.
GAUUGAACGCUGGCGGCAUGCUUUACACAUGCAAGUCGAACGGUAACAGGCCGCAAGGUGCUGACGAGUGGCGAACGGGUGAGUAAUGCAUCGGAACGUGCCCAGUCGUGGGGGAUAACUACUCGAAAGAGUAGCUAAUACCGCAUACGAUCUAUGGAUGAAAGCGGGGGACCGUAAGGCCUCGCGCGAUUGGAGCGGCCGAUGUCAGAUUAGGUAGUUGGUGGGGUAAAGGCUCACCAAGCCAACGAUCUGUAGCUGGUCUGAGAGGACGACCAGCCACACUGGGACUGAGACACGGCCCAGACUCCUACGGGAGGCAGCAGUGGGGAAUUUUGGACAAUGGGCGCAAGCCUGAUCCAGCAAUGCCGCGUGCAGGAAGAAGGCCUUCAGGUUGUAAACUGCUUUUGUACGGAACGAAACGGCUCUGGUUAAUACCCGGGGCUAAUGACGGUACCGUAAGAAUAAGCACCGGCUAACUACGUG